RNAcentral lists this ribosomal RNA (253 nucleotides) under uncultured bacterium. RNAcentral describes it as "partial 16S ribosomal RNA". It matches the Rfam family "Bacterial small subunit ribosomal RNA", at positions 524 to 776 of the family's 1533-position model. The record is from RNAcentral.
UACGGUGGGGGCAAGCGUUGUUCGGAAUUACUGGGCGUAAAGGGCUCGUAGGCGGCCAACUAAGUCGGACGUGAAAUCCCCAGGCUCAACCUGGGAACUGCGUCUGAUACUGGAUGGCUUGAAUCCGGGAGAGGGAUGCAGAAUUCCAGGUGUAGCGGUGAAAUGCGUAGAUAUCUGGAGGAACACCGGUGGCGAAGGCGACAUCCUGGACCGGUAUUGACGCUGAGGCGCGAAAGCCAGGGGAGCAAACGGG